CAGCAGCCGCGGGAAUACGUAGGGUGCAAGCGUUACUCGGAAUUACUGGGCGUAAAGCGUGCGUAGGUGGUGGUUUAAGUCCGUUGUGAAAGCCCUGGGCUCAACCUGGGAAUUGCAGUGGAUACUGGGUCACUAGAGUGUGGUAGAGGAUAGUGGAAUUUCCGGUGUAGCAGUGAAAUGCGUAGAGAUCGGAAGGAACAUCUGUAGCGAAGGCGACUAUCUGGGCCAUCACUGACACUGAGGCACGAAAGCGUGGGGAGCAAACAGGAUUAGAUACCCCGGUAGUCCCUGUCUCUUAUAC
This 301-nucleotide ribosomal RNA is filed under the name uncultured bacterium. Its description in RNAcentral is "partial 16S ribosomal RNA". It matches the Rfam family "Bacterial small subunit ribosomal RNA", at positions 509 to 807 of the family's 1533-position model. The record is from RNAcentral.